Molecule: ribosomal RNA, 359 nt
Filed under: uncultured Thermovirga sp.
Lineage: Bacteria; Thermotogati; Synergistota; Synergistia; Synergistales; Thermovirgaceae
Description: bacterial SSU rRNA
Rfam family: Bacterial small subunit ribosomal RNA
Source: RNAcentral
UGAGAGCGUACACAGGUGCUGCAUGGCUGUCGUCAGCUCGUGUCGUGAGAUGUGGUUAAGUCCCGCAACGAGCGCAACCCUGCAUUCAGUUGCCAUCGGUAAGGCCGGGGCACUCUGGAUGGACUGCCGGCGACAAGCCGGAGGAAGGUGGGGACGACGUCAAGUCAUCAUGGCCCUUAUGUCCAGGGCGACACACGUGCUACAAUGGCCGGCACAACGGGAAGCGAAGGGGCGACCCUGAGCGGAUCCCACAAAAGCCGGUCUCAGUUCGGAUUGCAGUCUGCAACUCGACUGCAUGAAGUUGGAAUCGCUAGUAAUCGUGGAUCAGCCAAGCCGCGGUGAAUACGUUCCCGGGCCUU